This 465-nucleotide ribosomal RNA is filed under the name Vreelandella stevensii. Its description in RNAcentral is "partial 16S ribosomal RNA". It matches the Rfam family "Bacterial small subunit ribosomal RNA", at positions 338 to 795 of the family's 1533-position model. The record is from RNAcentral. Lineage: Bacteria; Pseudomonadati; Pseudomonadota; Gammaproteobacteria; Oceanospirillales; Halomonadaceae.
CCUACGGGUGGCAGCAGUGGGGAAUAUUGAACAAUGGGCGAAAGCCUGAUCCAGCCAUGCCGCGUGUGUGAAGAAGGCCUUCGGGUUGUAAAGCACUUUCAGUGGGGAAGAAAGCCUUGGGGCUAAUACCCUCGAGGAAGGACAUCACCCACAGAAGAAGCACCGGCUAACUCCGUGCCAGCAGCCGCGGUAAUACGGAGGGUGCGAGCGUUAAUCGGAAUUACUGGGCGUAAAGCGCGCGUAGGCGGUCUGAUAAGCCGGUUGUGAAAGCCCCGGGCUCAACCUGGGAACGGCAUCCGGAACUGUCAGGCUAGAGUGCAGGAGAGGAAGGUAGAAUUCCCGGUGUAGCGGUGAAAUGCGUAGAGAUCGGGAGGAAUACCAGUGGCGAAGGCGGCCUUCUGGACUGACACUGACGCUGAGGUGCGAAAGCGUGGGUAGCAAACAGGAUUAGAUACCCCUGUAGUC